CCUACGGGUGGCAGCAGUAGGGAAUCUUUCACAAUGGGCGAAAGCCUGAUGGAGCAACGCCGCGUGCAGGAUGAAGGCCUUCGGGUUGUAAACUGCUUUUAUAAGCGAGAAAUAUGAUGGUAACUUAUGAAUAAGGAUCGGCUAAUUACGUGCCAGCAGCCGCGGUCAUACGUAGGAUCCGAGCAUUAUCCGGAGUGACUGGGUGUAAAGAGUUGCGUAGGUGGCAUACUAAGUAUCUAGUGAAAUCUGGUGGCUCAACCAUUCAGACUAUUAGCUAAACUGUUAAGCUCGAGACCGUUAGGGGUAACUGGAAUUUCUAGUGUAGGAGUGAAAUCCGUAGAUAUUAGAAGGAACACCAAUAGCGUAGGCAGGUUGCUGGGACGGUUCUGACACUAAGGCACGAAAGCGUAGGGAGCAAACGGGAUUAGAUACCCCUGUAGUC
RNAcentral lists this ribosomal RNA (442 nucleotides) under uncultured bacterium. RNAcentral describes it as "partial 16S ribosomal RNA". It matches the Rfam family "Bacterial small subunit ribosomal RNA", at positions 338 to 795 of the family's 1533-position model. The record is from RNAcentral.